This 537-nucleotide long non-coding RNA is filed under the name Gopherus agassizii (Agassiz's desert tortoise). RNAcentral describes it as "lncRNA (ENSGAGG00000008749.1)". Lineage: Eukaryota; Metazoa; Chordata; Testudines; Testudinidae. The record is from RNAcentral.
AUUUAUUCAAGUUUAAAAGUUACUGAUGAGCACUGAGGAAAGGUUCUCACAACAAUUAGACUUUUUAUAAUAGAAAUGACUGAAGAGAGAACAGUGGAGCAUUUUAAUUUCCCUACAGUUAUUUUUGAAUUAAAAAUUCAGGCAGAUAAUGAAAGUAAGCAGAUAUAGCUGAUAAGUAAACAGUAUGUGUCUUUAAAGGCAAGAAUAUAAACCUAUCCAAUGUAUUUCUACAGCUUGUGUGAUUGCUCCACCACUAAAGCUGGGAAGCUGGAAUCAAGUGGAGACACCUUAGCCCAGGAUGGGAGUGGAGCACCAACUCUGAUUCCUGCUCCAGCCAUCUACAUCUUGGCCCCAAUGCUUAAAAGAGGACAGCCCUGCAGUGGAGAAGCUGAGAGUAAUGCUUUAAAGUGGUUUCCCUGGAGAUUGUUGUGGGGAAACAGAGCUAGAAGCCUGUGAUGCUGAGUCUUGCUUGCUGAAGUUGCCAGGAGGUGCUACUCUGAGGUAGCAUGCUUUCUUAAGGCAAGUCUGUACUACAAA